AUUGAACGCUGGCGGCAGGCUUAACACACGCAAGUCGAGCGGGGUGAUGGUGCUUGCACUAUCACUUAGCGGCGGACGGGUGAGUAAUGCUUAGGAAUCUGCCUAUUAGUGGGGGACAACAUCUCGAAAGGGAUGCUAAUACCGUAUACGUCCUACGGGAGAAAGCAGGGGAUCACUUGUGACCUUGCGCUAAUAGAUGAGCCUAAGUCGGAUUAGCUAGUUGGUGGGGUAAAGGCCUACCAAGGCGACGAUCUGUAGCGGGUCUGAGAGGAUGAUCCGCCACACUGGGACUGAGACACGGCCCAGACUCCUACGGGAGGCAGCAGUGGGGAAUAUUGGACAAUGGGGGGAACCCUGAUCCAGCCAUGCCGCGUGUGUGAAGAAGGCCUUAUGGUUGUAAAGCACUUUAAGCGAGGAGGAGGCUCUUUUGGUUAAUACCCAAGAUGAGUGGACGUUACUCGCGGAAUAAGCACCGGCUAACUCUGUGCCAGCCGCCGCGGUAA
This 503-nucleotide ribosomal RNA is filed under the name uncultured bacterium. RNAcentral describes it as "partial 16S ribosomal RNA". It matches the Rfam family "Bacterial small subunit ribosomal RNA", at positions 30 to 523 of the family's 1533-position model. The record is from RNAcentral.